AAGACUAUACUUUCAUGGAUCAUUUCUAUAGUUUGUUUUAUGUAGUAUCUAAGUACUUAAAUAUGAGAAUCUUUUGUGUGAACCUUAGUAGUGAUCACCUCACCUAUCUGA
Molecule: small nucleolar RNA, 111 nt
Filed under: Erinaceus europaeus (western European hedgehog)
Lineage: Eukaryota; Metazoa; Chordata; Mammalia; Eulipotyphla; Erinaceidae
Description: Small nucleolar RNA U3
Rfam family: Small nucleolar RNA U3
About the family: Small nucleolar RNAs (snoRNAs) are involved in the processing and modification of rRNA in the nucleolus. There are two main classes of snoRNAs: the box C/D class, and the box H/ACA class.
Source: Rfam by way of RNAcentral